RNAcentral lists this ribosomal RNA (455 nucleotides) under uncultured bacterium. RNAcentral's name for it is "partial 16S ribosomal RNA". It matches the Rfam family "Bacterial small subunit ribosomal RNA", at positions 357 to 803 of the family's 1533-position model. The record is from RNAcentral.
UGGGAAUUUGGACGAAUGGGCGAAAGCCUGAUCCAGCAAUGCCGCGUGUGUGAAGAAGGCCUUCGGGUUGUAAAGCACUUUUGUCCGGAAAGAAAUCCUUGGCUCUAAUACAGUCGGGGGAUGACGGUACCGGAAGAAUAAGCACCGGCUAACUACGUGCCAGCAGCCGCGGUAAUACGUAGGGUGCAAGCGUUAAUCGGAAUUACUGGGCGUAAAGCGUGCGCAGGCGGUUUGCUAAGACCGAUGUGAAAUCCCCGGGCUCAACCUGGGAACUGCAUUGGUGACUGGCAGGCUAGAGUAUGGCAGAGGGGGGUGAGAAUUCCACGUGUAGCAGGUGAAAUGCGUAGAGAUGUGGAGGAAUACCGAUGGCGAAGGCAGCCCCCUGGCAAGUACUGACGCUCAUGCACGAAAGCGUGGGGAGCAAACNGGAUUAAUNCCCUGGUAGUCCACGCCCU